AUUGAACGCUGGCGGCAGGCUUAACACAUGCAAGUCGAGCGGGGUGAUGGUGCUUGCACUAUCACUUAGCGGCGGACGGGUGAGUAAUGCUUAGGAAUCUGCCUAUUAGUGGGGGACAACAUCUCGAAAGGGAUGCUAAUACCGCAUACGUCCUACGGGAGAAAGCAGGGGAUCACUUGUGACCUUGCGCUAAUAGAUGAGCCUAAGUCGGAUUAGCUAGUUGGUGAGGUAAAAGCUCACCAAGGCGACGAUCCUUAGCUGGUCUGAGAGGAUGAUCAGUCACACUGGAACUGAGACACGGUCCAGACUCCUACGGGAGGCAGCAGUGGGGAAUAUUGGACAAUGGGCGAAAGCCUGAUCCAGCCAUGCCGCGUGUGUGAAGAAGGUCUUCGGAUUGUAAAGCACUUUAAGUUGGGAGGAAGGGCUGUAGGCUAAUAUCCUGCAGUUUUGGCGUUACCGACAGAAUAAGCACCGGCUAACUUCGUGCCAGCCGCCGCCGUAA
RNAcentral lists this ribosomal RNA (502 nucleotides) under uncultured bacterium. RNAcentral describes it as "partial 16S ribosomal RNA". It matches the Rfam family "Bacterial small subunit ribosomal RNA", at positions 30 to 523 of the family's 1533-position model. The record is from RNAcentral.